GCUCCACUGGCGCAAUGGUAGCGCGCGAGACUUCUACGACACCAACAAACGGUAUCUCGAGGCUGCGGGUUCGAGUCCCGCGUGGAGUA
Phyllosticta paracitricarpa is the source of this 89-nucleotide non-coding RNA. The record is from the annotation of a GenBank genome assembly. Lineage: Eukaryota; Fungi; Ascomycota; Dothideomycetes; Botryosphaeriales; Phyllostictaceae.